GAUGAACGCUGGCGGCGUGCCUAAUACAUGCAAGUCGAGCGAACAGACGAGGAGCUUGCUCCUCUUACGUUAGCGGCGGACGGGUGAGUAACACGUGGAUAACCUACCUAUAAGACUGGGAUCACUUCGGGAAACCGGAGCUAAUACCGGAUAAUAUAUUGAACCGCAUGGUUCAAUAGUGAAAGACGGUUUUGCUGUCACUUAUAGAUGGAUCCGCGCCGCAUUAGCUAGUUGGUAAGGUAACGGCUUACCAAGGCAACGAUGCGUAGCCGACCUGAGAGGGUGAUCGGCCACACUGGAACUGAGACACGGUCCAGACUCCUACGGGAGGCAGCAGUAGGGAAUCUUCCGCAAUGGGCGAAAGCCUGACGGAGCAACGCCGCGUGAGUGAUGAAGGUCUUCGGAUCGUAAAACUCUGUUAUUAGGGAAGAACAAAUGUGUAAGUAACUAUGCACGUCUUGACGGUACCUAAUCAGAAAGCCACGGCUAACUACGUG
RNAcentral lists this ribosomal RNA (497 nucleotides) under uncultured bacterium. RNAcentral's name for it is "partial 16S ribosomal RNA". It matches the Rfam family "Bacterial small subunit ribosomal RNA", at positions 28 to 507 of the family's 1533-position model. The record is from RNAcentral.